Molecule: long non-coding RNA, 1445 nt
Organism: Cyprinus carpio carpio
Lineage: Eukaryota; Metazoa; Chordata; Actinopteri; Cypriniformes; Cyprinidae
Source: Ensembl
UACUAAGGGACAAACAAAUAAAUAAAUACAUUUGACCUUUUAUCUCACUUUUUUUGCAAUUCUGAAAUAAAUAAAAAUAAAUAAACUCAAAAUUGUGAGAUAUAAACUCACAAUUCUGCUAAAAAGGUAAGAAUUGUGAGAAAUACAUUCACAAUUGUGAGAUGUAAACCCAAAAUUGAAAGAAAUCAUUGCUAAAAUAGAAUUGCUAAAAAAAGGAAUUGCUAAAAAAAGACAUAAUUAAGAGAAUAAUUCAGAAUUGAGAAAAAUAAACUUUUUCUUUUUCAUAGGAAAAAAGUCAGAAUUGCGGGAAAUAAACUUAAAUUUGAAAGAAAUAUACUCAGAAAUGCUUAAAAAAAAGGUUCUGCGAGAAAUAAACUCAGAAUUCUGAAUUGAAAAAAAAAUUCUGAAUUGUGCAAAAAGUUGCAAUUGCCUUUUUUAUUUAAUUUUUAUCCCAACAAGCUUCCACAAAACUGAACUACCGAUCAGUUUUAAUGACUCCACUGCAACCAAACGAAUCAGGGACCGAAGGAGCAUCACACGUCUUUAUUUCAGAGAAAUCUGAGGAGACACCUUGAACGAGUGAUCAUCAUUAAAUGCUAUUAAAAGCCAGGCGUUGUUAUUCCUCGUGUGUCUGAGGGGAAGCGGCUGCAGGGUUUUUACAGUUGUAAGCACUUAAAGGCAAUUAUAUUCUUGGCCUGCUUUAACCGAACGUGCAGCUCGCCUUCUCCAUUCCUCCUCAUUUGUGGCGCUAAUUGGAAAAACAUUUUCAUCUUCAUGGCAACCUCCAUACUUUGGCAGUCAAUAGUUAUAUAGGCCAGUCGCACAAGCCAUAAAAAAUCCAGACAGAAGUCGUCUGACGGCAUUUAAUGCAUGCACUAGCCGUGCACAUGUACUUGCACAUGCACAUGAGGCGAGCAGGGAAAGGCAUGAACGUGCAUGUAAGCAAACUCCACAGCGGACACAGGAAGAUCCCCAGGAAACCGGUUUCUAGAAGCUGGCUUUCCCAACCUGCACUCACACAAACACUGACGAUCACCAAAGCUGUCUGACGCUCAGAGUGAUACAGGAUCCAAAGCACUCCCAUAAUGAUCAUACUGGCACUUCCCCAUAAUUAAAACAAACCCUGCCAGAGCCAUUCCCACCAGAGCAGUGCCAUCCAGGUUGGCAUCCAUGUCAUUCCAGUCCAUAAACCAGAGGACCGAAGGAGUGUACGCCAGGGCCGCAAUGCCAAUCUUGCCACCCACAUAACGCUUAAUGCUCCUCAAGUAGUCCUUCAUGGCAUGAGCCCUUUCUCUCCAAUGAGCAGAAAGCCACAACUAGACAGCAGUGAUUUCACACUUUGGCAAGAAAAAGGUGAGGUAUUAUAUUAUACACAGGCGUUGCACUAAUGUAAACUUUUAGGUUUCUAGUGCACAGGCUAGUAACUGUAACUAACUGAUGUAACU